RNAcentral lists this ribosomal RNA (110 nucleotides) under Callithrix jacchus (white-tufted-ear marmoset). Lineage: Eukaryota; Metazoa; Chordata; Mammalia; Primates; Cebidae. The record is from RNAcentral.
GUCUACAGCCAUACCACCCUGAACGUGCCUGUUCUUGUGAAGCUAAGCAGGGUUGGGCCUGGUUUGUGCUUGAAUGGGAGACUAACUGGAAAUGCUGGGUGCGGUAGGCU